CAUUAUUGAAUAUGCUUGAUAGGUUGUAGCUGGCUCGCUUGGAGCAUGUGCACGCUUGUCUUGACUUUAUUCAUCCACCUGUGCACCUUUUGUAGUCUUGAGUGGAUUGGAUCCGAGGAUCGGAGGAGACUCCGGAUGUGAGGAAUGCGUGGCUUUUCUCUAAUGGAUCUAGCUCGAGUACUAUGUAUUUCAUAUACUAGCAUGUUGUAGAAUGUGAUCAAUGGGAAUAAUGGAUAAUACAACUUUCAGCAACGGAUCUCUUGGCUCUCGCAUCGAUGAAGAACGCAGCGAAAUGCGAUAAGUAAUGUGAAUUGCAGAAUUCAGUGAAUCAUCGAAUCUUUGAACGCACCUUGCGCUCCUUGGUAUUCCGAGGAGCAUGCCUGUUUGAGUGUCAUUAAAUUCUCAACUCCUUCUAUUGUGAUGAUAGAUGGGGCUUGGAUAUGGGAGCUUGCGGGUCUUUAUAUUGAUAAAGGUCAGCUCUCCUGAAAUAGAUUAGCGGAACGGUUUGCAGUUGCCGUCAGUAGUGUGAUAAUUAUCUACACUGUGAUGGAUUGCUCUCUGACUAGAUCUGCUGCUAAUUGGAUGAAUUGAUGAUCUUGACCUCAAAUCAGGUAGGACUACCCGCUGAACU
RNAcentral lists this ribosomal RNA (631 nucleotides) under uncultured Lycoperdon. RNAcentral's name for it is "eukaryotic LSU rRNA". The stretch from base 241 to 394 matches the Rfam family "5.8S ribosomal RNA". Lineage: Eukaryota; Fungi; Basidiomycota; Agaricomycetes; Agaricales; Lycoperdaceae. The record is from RNAcentral.